This 493-nucleotide ribosomal RNA is filed under the name uncultured bacterium. RNAcentral describes it as "partial 16S ribosomal RNA". It matches the Rfam family "Bacterial small subunit ribosomal RNA", at positions 29 to 507 of the family's 1533-position model. The record is from RNAcentral.
ACGAACGCUGGCGGCGUGCUUAACACAUGCCAGUCGAACGGUGAAGCGCCUUCCUUUUUGGUGGGUGUGGAUGAGUGGCGAACGGGUGAGUAACACGUGAGUAACCUGCCCCCUUCUUCUGGAUAACCGCAUGAAAGUGUGGCUAAUACGGGAUAUUCUGGGUCUGUCGCAUGAUGGGUCUGGGAAAGAUAUUGUUUCGGUGGGGGAUGGGCUCGCGGCCUAUCAGCUUGGUGGUGGGGUGAUGGCCUACCAAGGCGGUGACGGGUAGCCGGCCUGAGAGGGUGGACGGUCACACUGGGAGUGAGACACGGACGAGACUCCUACGGGAGGCAGCAGUGGGGAAUAUUGCACAAUGGGCGCAAGCCUGAUGCAGCGACGCCGCGUGAGGGAUGGAGGCCGUCGGGUUGUGAACCUCUUUCGCCAGUGAAGCAGGCCUGCCUCGUUUGUGGGUGGGUUGACGGUAGCUGGAUAAGAAGCGCCGGCUAACUACGUG